Molecule: ribosomal RNA, 253 nt
Filed under: uncultured bacterium
Lineage: Bacteria
Description: partial 16S ribosomal RNA
Rfam family: Bacterial small subunit ribosomal RNA
Source: RNAcentral
GACGGAGGAUGCAAGCGUUAUCCGGAAUGAUGGGGCGUAAAGCGUCCGCAGGUGGCAGUUCAAGUCUGCUGUCAAAGACCGGGGCUUAACUUCGGAAAGGCAGUGGAAACUGAACAGCUAGAGUAUGGUAGGGGCAGAGGGAAUUCCUGGUGUAGCGGUGAAAUGCGUAGAGAUCAGGAAGAACAUCGGUGGCGAAGGCGCUCUGCUGGACCAUAACUGACACUCAGGGACGAAAGCUAGGGGAGCGAAUGGG